CCAACGGGGGCCCUUCCAAUACUUGGCCAAGUCGAGCGGACCGAAUCGGAGCUUGCUCUGGUUGGGUCAGCGGCGGACGGGUGAGUAAACACGUGGGCAACCUGCCCGCAAGACCGGGAUAACUCCGGGAAACCGGAGCUAAUACCGGAUAACACCGAAGACCGCAUGGUCUUUGGUUGAAAGGCGGCCUUUGGCUGUCACUUGCGGAUGGGCCCGCGGCGCAUUAGCUAGUUGGUGAGGUAACGGCUCACCAAGGCGACGAUGCGUAGCCGGCCUGAGAGGGUGACCGGCCACACUGGGACUGAGACACGGCCCAGACUCCUACGGGAGGCAGCAGUAGGGAAUCUUCCGCAAUGGGCGAAAGCCUGACGGAGCGACGCCGCGUGAGCGAAGAAGGCCUUCGGGUCGUAAAGCUCUGUUGUGAGGGACGAAGGAGCGCCGUUUGAACAAGGCGGCGCGGUGACGGUACCUCACGAGAAAGCCCCGGCUAACUACGUGCCAGCAGCCGCGGUAAUACGUAGGGGGCGAGCGUUGUCCGGAAUUAUUGGGCGUAAAGCGCGCGCAGGCGGCUCCUUAAGUCUGAUGUGAAAGCCCACGGCUCAACCGUGGAGGGUCAUUUGGAAAACUGGGGAGCUUGAGUGCAGGAGAGGGGAGCGGAAUUCCACGUGUAGCGGUGAAAUGCGUAGAGAUGUGGAGGAACACCAGUGGCGAAGGGCGGCUCUCUGGCCUGUAACUGACGCUGAGGCGCGAAAGCGUGGGGAGCAAAACAGGAUUAAGAUACCCCUGGCUAGUCCCACGCCCGUAAA
RNAcentral lists this ribosomal RNA (806 nucleotides) under Geobacillus stearothermophilus. RNAcentral's name for it is "bacterial SSU rRNA". It matches the Rfam family "Bacterial small subunit ribosomal RNA", at positions 30 to 806 of the family's 1533-position model. The record is from RNAcentral. Lineage: Bacteria; Bacillati; Bacillota; Bacilli; Caryophanales; Anoxybacillaceae.